AAGUCGUAACAAGGUUUCCGUAGGUGAACCUGCGGAAGGAUCAUUAAUGAAACUGAAGUAAUAAUAUACACCGUGAAUUGGCUGGGAGAUAUCUCAGCAUAUAAACAACCACAAUAAUAUAUUUGUAUUAAUACAACUUUUAACAAUGGAUCUCUUGGCUCUC
This 163-nucleotide unclassified non-coding RNA is filed under the name fungal sp. RNAcentral's name for it is "partial internal transcribed spacer region". The stretch from base 1 to 46 matches the Rfam family "Eukaryotic small subunit ribosomal RNA", at positions 1786 to 1831 of the family's 1831-position model. Lineage: Eukaryota; Fungi. The record is from RNAcentral.